Long non-coding RNA from Polistes canadensis, 757 nucleotides. RefSeq lists it as uncharacterized. The transcript is spliced from 2 exons. Lineage: Eukaryota; Metazoa; Arthropoda; Insecta; Hymenoptera; Vespidae. The record is from RefSeq and is a predicted model, not a curated record.
CGUCGAAUACAUUAUAAACGGCUUGCAAUACUCUUCAGCAUCUUGUAAACAUAACCUGAUAGCACCAGUAGUUGAUUUGUGUUUACUUCAUGUAGUUAUUCCCCUUUAGAAAUGUCACUUUAUGAGCCGAAUCUCGUCAUUUGCGGGAGGUGUUAAUUUAUUUUUUUAAUAUACAAAAAUCUGUGGCUGAGGCUCACCGAAUGCUCUCAGACGCUUAUGAAAACCGGCAUAGUGGUGGAAGACUAAACAUUUUUGAAGAUGAACAAUUAAAGCAUUUGCUCGAUGAAGAUUCGUGUCAAAGUCAAGAGGAGGGUUGGCAGGAUCAUUGGAAGUGAGCCAAUAAGCAGUUUCAAAACGCCUAAACAGUCCGGGAAGAAGAUCAAAGAAAUAAGAUCAAAUGAUUAAAUCAUAUUCAACAAGAACUCGAUAGUGGAAUACUGAUCUAGUCAGAGAGAGAGAGAGAGCAAUUUAUAGAAUAUUCACUUGAGAACUGCAUGUCUUUUUAUUUUUCCUUCUUUUUCUCUUUUAAUUGCUUGUAGUGUAAUGAAAUUCUAUAAUAAAUAGUGAUCUAACAUUUGUAUGAUAACAAAGUUACUUCAUUACUUGUUACUUGGGGCAUUUCUGCUUAAAUUGAAACGUUUUUAAUAAAAUUACUUGGUGUCACAGUUACUUUAUACUUUUCCAUAUCGCGGGAUAGAUAGCACGUAAUAUGGUGUAAUGCGUUGUAGGAAAAUUUGCACACGUACACUCCCGUUUU